Zootoca vivipara (common lizard) is the source of this 496-nucleotide long non-coding RNA. RefSeq lists it as uncharacterized. The record is from RefSeq and is a predicted model, not a curated record. Lineage: Eukaryota; Metazoa; Chordata; Lepidosauria; Squamata; Lacertidae.
UAAAGUUCCCAACUGAGCAUUCUGCCUCGGCCUUAUGAUAAUGAUGAAAACCCGAUAUGUUCUUCUGUCUCUCUUCACAUUCACAAUCUUUCUCAAUCCAGGAAAAACUGAAAUCCGUGAUAAAGCAACAUGUCAUUUAUUCAGUGGUAUGUGCUUCCCGGUUGUGUGUACUCCGCCACGUUUCCAGAUCGGAGAAUGUCGUCCGUUUGUGUUCUGCUGUGCAAUUACUGCCUAUGAGUGAUGGGAAGACACGAGAUCUCUGCUUGAGGAAUCAACAAUUCCAGCCUUAUCACGACCGUUGCCAAGAAUGCACUUUUGGCUCUUCUGCAGCUGAAAGACCAGAAAUAAAUCUCUGCUGUGAAUGAGUUAAAGAUCCCAUCUUAACAACAACAAGAAGGACAACAAGGACAAUAAUACAAAUCAGAAGGGACAAAUGCUUCCUUUUAUGUCCCUUGCUUUCUGAACAUAGUUAUUAGAUGAUGGGUAGGUUAUUAUA